AGCAGUCGCCACGGGAAUACGAAGGGGGCUAGCGUUGUUCGGAUUUACUGGGCGUAAAGCGCACGUAGGCGGACUUUUAAGUCAGGGGUGAAAUCCCGGGGCUCAACCCCGGAACUGCCUUUGAUACUGGAAGUCUUGAGUAUGGUAGAGGUGAGUGGAAUUCCGAGUGUAGAGGUGAAAUUCGUAGAUAUUCGGAGGAACACCAGUGGCGAAGGCGGCUCACUGGACCAUUACUGACGCUGAGGUGCGAAAGCGUGGGGAGCAAACAGGAUUAGAUACCCGAGUAGUCCCUGUCUCUUAUAC
Molecule: ribosomal RNA, 303 nt
Filed under: uncultured bacterium
Lineage: Bacteria
Description: partial 16S ribosomal RNA
Rfam family: Bacterial small subunit ribosomal RNA
Source: RNAcentral